AUACUUACCUGGCAGGAAGGAGGAAUACAACAAUUUAGAAGGUGGAUUCCCCAGGGUGAGGCUCUUCCUUCCCACCUUGGUUAAAUUGACCCCUGUGACUGAUUUCCUCAAAUGUGGGAAACUCAGCUGGAUUCUUUAUAGUAUAUGAACCUUAUCUGUGCAGCUCUAAA
Small nuclear RNA from Protopterus annectens (West African lungfish), 170 nucleotides. RefSeq annotates it as U1 spliceosomal RNA. The record is from RefSeq and is a predicted model, not a curated record. Lineage: Eukaryota; Metazoa; Chordata; Ceratodontiformes; Protopteridae. The transcript has a single exon.